RNAcentral lists this ribosomal RNA (497 nucleotides) under uncultured bacterium. RNAcentral describes it as "partial 16S ribosomal RNA". It matches the Rfam family "Bacterial small subunit ribosomal RNA", at positions 28 to 507 of the family's 1533-position model. The record is from RNAcentral.
GAUGAACGCUGGCGGCGUGCCUAAUACAUGCAAGUCGAGCGAACAGAUGAGGAGCUUGCUCCUCUGACGUUAGCGGCGGACGGGUGAGUAACACGUGGAUAACCUACCUAUAAGACUGGGAUAACUUCGGGAAACCGGAGCUAAUACCGGAUAAUAUAUUGAACCGCAUGGUUCAAUAGUGAAAGACGGUUUUGCUGUCACUUAUCGAUGGAUCCGCGCCGCAUUAGCUAGUUGGUAAGGUAACGGCUUACCAAGGCAACGAUGCGUAGCCGACCUGAGAGGGUGAUCGGCCACACUGGAACUGAGACACGGUCCAGACGCCUACGGGAGGCAGCAGUAGGGAAUCUUCCGCAAUGGGCGAAAGCCUGACGGAGCAACGCCGCGUGAGUGAUGAAGGUCUUCGGAUCGUAAAACUCUGUUAUUAGGGAAGAACAAAUGUGUAAGUAACUAUGCACGUCUUGACGGUACCUAAUCAGAAAGCCACGGCUAACUACGUG